CGUUCUGUAAGCCUGUGAAGGUGUGUCGUGAGGCAUGCUGGAGGUAUCAGAAGUGCGAAUGCUGACAUAAGUAACGAUAAAGCGGGUGAAAAGCCCGCUCGCCGGAAGACCAAGGGUUCCUGUCCAACGUUAAUCGGGGCAGGGUGAGUCGACCCCUAAGGCGAGGCCGAAAGGCGUAGUCGAUGGGAAACGGGUUAAUAUUCCCGUACUUGGUGUUACUGCGAAGGGGGGACGGAGAAGGCUAUGUUGGCCGGGCGACGGUUGUCCCGGUUUAAGCGUGUAGGUGUGUGUUCCAGGUAAAUCCGGUUCACUUUAACACUGAGGCGUGACGACGAGGCACUACGGUGCUGAAGCAACAAAUGC
RNAcentral lists this ribosomal RNA (363 nucleotides) under Salmonella enterica. RNAcentral's name for it is "partial 23S ribosomal RNA". It matches the Rfam family "Bacterial large subunit ribosomal RNA", at positions 1237 to 1600 of the family's 2925-position model. Lineage: Bacteria; Pseudomonadati; Pseudomonadota; Gammaproteobacteria; Enterobacterales; Enterobacteriaceae. The record is from RNAcentral.